CCUCUGUUCCGGAGGCCCUCGAAGGAGGCCGCCGGCGCCCUGGCACACAUUUCUUAAGACACUUCAUUUCUUCUCUCCUCCGAGUUCCCCACUGAGAAUGUUAUGAUUUCACCAGAUCUCGUCCCGGAUAAAAUUGAUCAGUUCCUGACUGAGUGACCUGGGGCAAGCUCCUGUUUCAUCGUGGAGCGCACAUUCUGUGCCAGACACCGUUAAACCCUCGGAUUACCACGAGAUACAGUGGCAGCCUGCAAGGAGUUUACAGUCAAUUGGGGAGGCAGACUGAAAGGUCCUGAUUUUCCGAUUGGUGGUUCUGACUGUCGAUUACUCUUUUCCUUUAGAGUUUAAACGAAAGACCAGGAGGACCCAAAAGAAACACUAAGCCGCACCUCUAUGGACGGACAGUAUUGGCGGUCUACCUUGGGGGAUACAGGGAUGAAUGGGAGAGUUAUUGCCUUCAGGAAGCCCACAGCCUAGGGAUACAUACACUAUGCUUGCAGCUCACAUCGAACACUUUUCCAAUAUGUUCCUCUGGUAGGUUCUGGGUUCAAGAGACAGUUAAUGUGUCUAACUACAGGUGAAAUGCUAUGGAGGUUCAGGAGAAGUUAAAUUAUUUAUGAGUUGGGUAUCUCGGGAAACUUCCUGGAGGAGGUGGCCUUCACUUUGUAAUUUGGAAAAUAGGUAGAAUUGGAGCAUUGGAAGUGUAUUGGGGAGUCAUGGGGCUGGGGAGGAUGGAAGUACCUAUGGCAUUAAAGGCCCAGACUCUGGAACUUGAGGUCCUUAUUCAGGGAACUAGGUUGGGAGCCCAGGGUCUGUGACAGACAGGAGUACAAGAAGCAGCUGGAGGAGACCAGGUCAUAAGACCCUUAAAUAUCUUGGCAGAGAACUUUGGGCCUUAUAUUUAGACAGUGGAAGCCAUGAAAUGUCCUUGAGCAGAGAAGGGAUGUCAGGGUUCUGGUUUAGAAAUAUGGCUCUGGCAGAAGUAUGGAGAGUAGAGUGCAGGAUUUGGUGGCAGAGAGGCCAGGUAGGAGGUUCAAGCCAGUUAAGUAGGUUCCUAAGUGACAGGUGUAGACUGACCCUGGAAGCACCUGCCUAGAACCAGCUCAUCUGGGCAUUGACUGUGCACUGUCCAGUGAUCAGAGUUCAGCAGAAACCUGCCUACCCUUUAAAGCAAUGUUCCCAGUUCCACCACCAUCUGGAGUCUAAAUAAGGAAUCAUUGUGGCUCUGACCAUAUUUACCUUCCAAGUCUCAUUGCUACUUUCCAGGAGAGCCCCGAAGUUUGCAGCCAAACCUUUACCUCAUUGCAGGCUUCAUUUACUCAUUCUUGCCCCUUGGGCUAUUCUCCAUGGGAUUUUUUUUUUUUUUUUAACAGUGCAAAAUGGGCUAUGUCCUAUCUUGUUCUGAAGAAAUGUUGAACAAUGCCUCCUUUGAUGACCUGCAAGCUGGGCCAAUAGAUUCCCUGCAGCCUGCCAGAGACGUGGUAGCUGCCCUGCCAAGAGCUAUCCUGGGAGGGCUAUUGAAAGAGCCUGGAAAUCUGGAAUCUCGAAAGUUCCUGUGACCAAAAAAGGUUAAGGAAAGCCGAUCCCAGACAAUCUCCUCUUGCAAGUGAGUCCCGUAGCCUCAAAGAGGGAAACGGACUUGCUUAAGGGCCCACAGAAACAUUAGGCCAGAGCCGGGGCCUGCUCAGAGCUCUU
Molecule: long non-coding RNA, 1692 nt
Organism: Choloepus didactylus (southern two-toed sloth)
Lineage: Eukaryota; Metazoa; Chordata; Mammalia; Pilosa; Megalonychidae
Exons: 3
Source: RefSeq, a predicted model, not a curated record